GCGCGCGGACCCACCGCGCGAAACUUAAGAACUAUACAAUAAGACGAGGAAAAGAAACUAAACAGGAUUCCCCUAGUAGACGGCAGACAAACCGGGAAGAGACUCAAAUUUAAAAAAUCCUGGACGUUCCUUUACGCGGGGACCGGUUCCCCGGAAAAGGGUUUGGGUAAAAUUCUAACAAGAAGGUGGUUUUUCCGUGACCCGAACCGUGGUCCAAGGUUCCCUUGGGAAUAGGGUAUCAAGAGGGUGACAUCCCGUAACUUGACAACGAACAAACCGGUGACUCUGGUGAAUAACAACUUUUCUAACGAAGUUUCGAAGGUUGGUUUUGGGGGAAAUGGCAGGCUUCAAAAAUGGGGGUGGGUAAAAUUUCCAUUCUAAAAGAUAAAUAUAGGACGAGAGACCGAUAGCGAACAGUACCGUGAGGGAAAGAUGAAAAGCAACUUUGGAAAGAGAGUUAAAAAGUACGUGAAAUUGUUUGAAAAGGGGAAACGAUUGAAGUCAGUCGUGUCUGUUGGUUUCAGCCCGUUCUGGCCGGGUGUAUUACCAACAGACGGGUCAACAUUAGUUUUGAGCCGUGGAAAAAGGUAAAGGGAACGUAGCUCCUCCGGGAGUGUUAUAGCCCCUUAUUGCCUACCCUGCUUGAGACUGAAGAA
RNAcentral lists this ribosomal RNA (656 nucleotides) under uncultured Hannaella. RNAcentral describes it as "LSU rRNA". It matches the Rfam family "Eukaryotic large subunit ribosomal RNA", at positions 15 to 593 of the family's 3401-position model. The record is from RNAcentral. Lineage: Eukaryota; Fungi; Basidiomycota; Tremellomycetes; Tremellales; Bulleribasidiaceae.